CUUAUUUUUACGGAUGCAUAAAAUCUAUCAUACCCUCAAAGCCUACUACUAUCUGCUUGAGUAGUUUACAUUUUCACUGCUCGCAUUACUGUACAAAAAAUAUGAUGCAGCGAUACUAUAAUUUGAAAUGGCAUAUAAGAUAAUUACUAGCUCAUUUAAUACUUCGGUAGAUUUUACUUAAACACAUUUAUUUUAUAGCGCUCAAUAAUCCGAAUCAUACCCGCACAUUGAAUUUUAGACCUU
Molecule: non-coding RNA, 243 nt
Organism: Schizosaccharomyces pombe (fission yeast)
Lineage: Eukaryota; Fungi; Ascomycota; Schizosaccharomycetes; Schizosaccharomycetales; Schizosaccharomycetaceae
Source: the annotation of a GenBank genome assembly